AGCCUGAUCCAGCAACGCCGCGUGAGGGAUGACGGCCUUCGGGUUGUAAACCUCUUUCACCGAUGACGAAGCGCAAGUGACGGUAGUCGGAGAAGAAGCACCGGCCAACUACGUGCCAGCAGCCGCGGUAAUACGUAGGGUGCGAGCGUUGUCCGGAAUUAUUGGGCGUAAAGGGCUCGUAGGCGGUUUGUCGCGUCGGGAGUGAAAACCAGGUGCUUAACACCUGGCUUGCUUCCGAUACGGGCAGACUAGAGGUAUGCAGGGGAGAACGGAAUUCCUGGUGUAGCGGUGAAAUGCGCAGAUAUCAGGAGGAACACCGGUGGCGAAGGCGGUUCUCUGGGCAUGACCUGACGCUGAGGAGCGAAAGUGUGGGGAGCGAACAGGAUUAGAUACCCUGGUAGUCCACACCGUAAACGUUGGGCGCUAGGUGUGGGAUCCAUUCCACGGGUUCCGUGCCGCAGCUAACGCAUUAAGCGCCCCGCCUGGGGAGUACGGCCGCAAGGCUAAAACUCAAAUGAA
Molecule: ribosomal RNA, 519 nt
Filed under: Nocardioides zeae
Lineage: Bacteria; Bacillati; Actinomycetota; Actinomycetes; Propionibacteriales; Nocardioidaceae
Description: bacterial SSU rRNA
Rfam family: Bacterial small subunit ribosomal RNA
Source: RNAcentral